Dermacentor silvarum is the source of this 373-nucleotide long non-coding RNA. RefSeq lists it as uncharacterized. Lineage: Eukaryota; Metazoa; Arthropoda; Arachnida; Ixodida; Ixodidae. The transcript has 3 exons. The record is from RefSeq and is a predicted model, not a curated record.
UCAGAUUCUACCGAUUCCCAACUAAAUGGUACGAAAAAAGCAGACGACAGGCAUGGAUUACCGCAGUGCGCCGAACAAAUGCUGAUGGAAGUCCGUGGUCGCCAACAGAGACAACACGGAUUUGUAGCAGACAUUUUGUUGGAAACUGCAAGAAUGACAGUAACCAACACCCGUCGUAUGUGCCGACCAUUUUUCCGGCGGCGUACAAGAAACGGACACCUGACCCAGAAGUGGCGCAGAGGUGGAAACGGCGUUUUGAAAGGGCAGCCAGAACAAAUUCUGCGGAGCAGGCUGUGCCGCAGAGUACUCCUCAAGUUGAUCCAGCAGUGCAAGAUCAAGAUACCACUGCUUGCCUGGGCUUCGAUGACACACU